UACAGAGGGGGCAAGCGUUGUCCGGAUUUACUGGGCGUACAGCGCGCGCAGGCGGUUGCGUAUGUGAGCGGUGACAUCCGCGGGCUCAACCCGCGGCGGCCCGCUUACACAGCGCGACUGGAGGCAGGGAGAGGGAUGUGGAAUACCCGGUGGAGCGGUGAAAUGCGUAGAGAUCGGGUGGAACACCAGCGGCGAAGGCGGCAUCCUGGCCCUGUACUGACGCUGAGGCGCGAUAGCGUGGGGAGCAAACGGG
RNAcentral lists this ribosomal RNA (253 nucleotides) under uncultured bacterium. RNAcentral's name for it is "partial 16S ribosomal RNA". It matches the Rfam family "Bacterial small subunit ribosomal RNA", at positions 524 to 776 of the family's 1533-position model. The record is from RNAcentral. RNAcentral also lists the same sequence under 1 other name.